Molecule: long non-coding RNA, 5714 nt
Filed under: Hordeum vulgare
Lineage: Eukaryota; Viridiplantae; Streptophyta; Magnoliopsida; Poales; Poaceae
Description: long non-coding RNA (HVUL_LNC002804)
Source: RNAcentral
UUUUUUUUUCUUUUUGAGAGCCACGGUCAUGUCUCUCUUAGAAGAAAAUUAGUGAUUCUAUGAGAAGUAAAUCCGUACCUCUUGUGGUAGGGAAAGAAACACGUUUUUCUUUUUCUUUUAUGAGGGACACGACCGUUUCUCUCGUGUAAACAAAUCUAUAACUCUAUGAUAAGUAAAUGUAUGCCUCACGUAGUAGGAACAGAAAGAAAACGUGCUUUUAUCCUUUUGCGAGGGGCACGGGCGUGCCUCUCAUGGACGCAAAUUCGUAACUUCAUGAAAAGUAAAUGUUUGCUUCUCGGGAAAGGAAAAAAUACGUUUUUUCAUGCUAAUAUUUUUUUGAAACCUAAGAAAACCCUUGAAAAACGUCUUAAAAUGGAAACGCGUGAACAUUGUGAAAUCAUUAAUUGAGAAGUACUCUUUCUAAAGAUCAUCUCCACCUUCCCAUGUUGUAACAACUGACGCAUUGCAUGUGUGUCACUUGUCACAACUUAAAAGUUUUCCUUUUUUACGUAGAUCUGUAAUUUUAUAAUGUUUUAUCUCUAAAAUUGUGCAUCCAAAUCUUAAAGCGUUUUCAUUAAUGGGUUUCUCGCGCUGAGAUCUUCAAAAUUAAAACCUAUCUUGAUAGUUUUUGACAAACUUUUUUCAUAAAAAAAAAAUGAAAAAACUAGGCCUCUCAUGAUAGAUAAAACAGAAAACGCGUUUUUUUCCUCGUCAUGCUUUUCGCAAAAAAAACGCAUUUUUUUUUAUUUCCGAGAGGCAUGGUCGUGCCUCUCGAGGAAGAAAAACCGUGCCUCUCACAAAAAAAAACAGCACACCUUUUUUUUCAUUUCCGACAGACAUCUCGGAAAAGCAAAGCCGUGCCUCUCCCGAAAGAAAAAAAUGCCUCUCGUAGAAAAAACAGAAAACGUGUUUUUUUCAUUUUUAAGAGGCAAGGUCGUAUCUCUUGCGAAAGCAAAACCGUGCCUCUCAUAAAAAAAUAUGUUUUUUGCGUGAAAAUGUGAAUAAAUAUCAUCAAAAAGCAAAGAAAGACUGAUAAAAAAUCAAAAGACAAAAAAACCGGAUCUCAAUCUGUUCUUAUGACUUAUGAUUUUUUUGCUUGAGCAGUUCUUAUGACUUAUGAUGUGUAUCAUAAAAGAACAUGCUUGUUGGGCGCCACUAUGCCUCGCCUUCAGCGAGAGAGGAGACCUAAAUGGGUCGGCCCAGUGGCAGGGGAAACCACAACCUCCUUUUUUCAGAAUCAUAAACUUUUUUCUAUAUCUGAUAAACCCUUUCUUCAAAAUCAAUGAACUUUUUAUCAUUUUUUGAACUCGAUGAAUUUUUUUGAAAAGUCGAUAGUCUUUCUCAAAUUUGAUGUUUUGCUUUCAAAUUUGAACAAAUUUUCUUCAAAUGGAUGAAUUUUUUCAUAUUUGAUGAACGCUUUUCUCUAAUGGAUUAACUUUUUUCAAAUCUGAUGUUUUUAUCAUUUUUUGUAAAAUUUGAUGUUUUUUUAGAAAAAAUGAACUUUAUUAAAGUUCUUGAAUUUGUUUUUGAAAUACAUGAAAACAAAUUAAAUUCACGAUUUUCCCUUUUUUAGUCUUCUAUUUUUCUUGUUUUUUCUCAAAAUUCAAUGGUUUACGAGUUGACUGAUCAACUGUGACCAGUCCAAUACGAAAAAAGUACAUCUACAUUUGUUUCAAAUGGAUGAAGCUUUUCUCAUAGGAUCGUGAUAACACACAUACGUAUGAUAGGAGCAACAACAGCCCGCACGUCCGAUGAUCACAUGUUGAGCCAUAUCACCGCAUGCAUGCACAAGUUACAAAAUUGUUGAUAUCAUAUGAAAUCUUAUGUCUAUAGUUUUUAAAAUAUUUUAUCUCUUAAAUAAAAAAUCCAAUUGAAAAACCAUUUUCACCCUUAAAUCUGUUGCGACGAGUUCUUUAAAACUAGAUCUCAUAUUGAUAUGUUUCGACGACUUUUUUUCGGUGUUAAAAGUUAUCACGUUCAUUGCACAUAAUUUGUCAUCAUGAUUACACUGAAGUUGUUAUGAUGAAAAUGGAUUUUUAAUUAGAUUUUUUGUUUAAGAGAUAAAACACUUUUAUGUCUAGAAAAUUAUAAAAAAAAUUACUAAUGUCAUAUAUUUAAUGUGAGAAGAUGGAUGGUUACGAAGACGUGUCAACCAUUUUGGCAAAUCUUAUUUGGCGACCGUUAGCAAACGGCGGCUGCAGCGCAACCCCUCAAUUAGCGAUCUGGGCCGGCCCAUGUAAGUGUGCUUCAGGAGUGGAAGUCGAGAUCAAUUACUUCAUCUACAACGAAUAUAACCACUACGCCAUCGACUAACUAGUGAUUCCUAAUUUAUUUUCUCUUAUUUGUUCUCCUAUUUCACGUGAAUCCUCCCAAACCGGUUUUUUACUGGUUUGUGGUCAUUCCGGGAUGAAUUAUUUGUUUUUCCUUUAUUUUGUGCUUUUUUCAACUCGUUUUUUUUCAAAUCAAUGAUCUCCAUUUUUCUGAUUAAAAAAUCAAUGAACUUUUCCAAUUUGGAUCUAUUUUUAAGUUUAUUAACUUUUUUAACAAUCGGUAAACUUUUUUUCAAAUUUGCUGAACUAUUUAAUAAUCCAAUGAACUUUUUAUCAAAUUAGUUGAAUUUUUUUUAAGUUUGAUCUUUUUUAAAAACAAUUGAUGAACUUUUUGCAAAUGUGAUGAACUUCUUUUCAAAUCUAGUUAAGUUUUUUAAUUAUUGAUGAAUUAUUUUUAAAGAUCUAUUAACUUUUUUCAAAUAUGAUGAACUACUUUUCAAAUCAUAAUUGUUUUCUUCAAAUAGAUGACCUUAUUUUCAAAGUCCAUGAUUUUAUUUUUCUGAAACUCGAGAACUUUUUUACACAUUGAUGAACUUAAUUUUAAAAUUUGAUGAUCUUUUUAAUUGUUUUUAACUUUUUGUGAAAGUCUAUGAACUAUUUUUUUUUCAAAAUUGAUGAACUGUUUUAAAACCAAUAAUUUUUUUUCAAAUUUGAUUAAAGUCGAGUAAUAUAUUUUUAAAAAUCUAUGAGCAUAUUUCAAUUUUGAUGAACUUUUACCAAAUCUGAUGAACGUCUUUCAGAUCGAUUAUCUUUUUUUAUAAAAAAAAUCUUGUUCGCAUCAAUGUUUUUUUUUCAAAAUCGAUUAACUUUUUCCAAAUUCAAUGAACUUUUUUUCUAAAUUCGGUAAAUAUGUUUUAAAAUUAAUGUCCACAAAUCCAAAAAUAUUAUCACGAUAUUUUUCCAACUAUUAUGUAUCAAUGAAUAGUGAUGCGAGCUUGUUAUUAAGACUUUCAUACUAUAAAAAAUCAGUUAAGUCUGCUAGGUGUAGUGGUUAGUGAGUUCGGUUGUGUAAUUGACGUCUUUAGUUCGAAUUGUGUAGCUGCUACUAUUUUUGGGAUAUUUCUGCGCACGUUUGCUGGCCGAAGUGUUUUAUGAGCCGCCCAAUUAGCAGGGAACGUGGGCGUGGCGCCGGCUAGGAGCUCCCGACCAUAUUGACUCGUGCCAUAUACUCCCUCCGUCCGCUAAAGACUGCACGUUUAGUGAUUUACACAUAGAUCAAGGAAAGAGCUGACUUUGCUCCCAUGACCUAAUUAACACAGAACAUUGAAAGACACAUGUGUGCAUGCAACCAAUGAAAAAAGACCAUUAAAUGAAUAUUGGUUGCAUGCAGUAAUUAAGGCAGAAAUCAAAGGGGAUAAAAUACAAUAUGCAUUGGGGUUGUAGAUUAACACUCUUUCUUGGACAAUUUAUAAAUACUAGAUGUCCAGUCUUUUCCGGACGGAGGGAGUAUGUGGGCAUUACAAUUUCAGUUUUCAUAUUGGACAAACGAGCUGUUAGGGGAGGAAACUCGCGAGAUGUGAUGGCGAUCUUCUACAUGGCCCGGCCCAUGACCGUGCGUGCGUGAGCUUUCCUAAAGGAGCUGCCUACAUUGACCCUGCUUUCUUUACGUUCCUUUUCUGUUUUGAGAGGAGAUUUCCCUCAUUCGUGACCGAAGCGCAACCCCUCUGUUGACGCGUCGAGCACGAAGCAUGGUUGAUCUCGGACAAUGUCAUGCUGUGGUGUGCCCGCCGAGCGAGGCAUCGGUCACGGGAUGCGGCGGAGGCCCUCGCGGCGGCAGAUGUUGGAGAGGUGGAAUCACACUCUCCGACGUCCCGUAGGGUGCACCACUUCGCUCGACGCAACCGCGUCGUGGUGAACGCCGGCUCCUCCCACGAAGGAUACGUCAUUGACCUCACGUCGACUAGCACCGUCCGGGUUAUGGGCUCCGACGAGGAAGAUUAAGGCAUGGGAGACGGUGGGAGCUCGACUCCCGUGAGCCGACUAGUGUCUCAUGUCCUACUCUACCUCAUCGGCAACCGGACCGACAAUAUGAGGGGCGCAGCCAGCCGCCGGACAUGGGCACGAUGGAGUCGGACGAGCUCCGCUUAGCAUUAGGUUUACCUUGAAUGUAAUAGUAUGGAUUUGAGGUUUCUAAUUUAAGGUAUCCGGAUGUCGUAGACUGCAUUAUUUAGAGCAACCCCAACGGAAGGACCCAUUUUCGUCCGUCCGUGUUUGUAUAGAUGGGCGUGGACAAAAGUGAUGGCCCAACACGGAGACCCAUUUCCAUUUUGCGUCCGCUUUGUGUCCGCGCGAAACCAUUGUUGUCGCAAAUUUGGGUCAUAUUUGGGUCGCCAACGAACACAAAAACAGACUUUUUUGUGCCUGCAUCGUCCGCAUGUGUCCGGCCUGACCCACUUGUCACACAGCCACCCACCCAUCUCUGCAUACUUAUUUAAUUCGCUGGCCCACCCCAUCCAUUUUCUUCUAUUAUUUUACUGACAUAGUGUUGCUGUCCACUUGCUUCCCGUUGGGUGCAUGUGCUGACUCAUUUAAAAAACAGAUACGAACAAGCAGACGGAUGACUCAAACGAGUAAAAUGCGGACAAAAACGUUAUCCGUUUGGAUCGAUACAUUGAAGUUGCCUUUUAAGGCGUGACCUGUUAAUGUAUGCAUGCGUCUGAAAACGUUCGCGAGUGUUUGAGGAACCGGAUCCGGCCAUAGAUGCUCUAAUGACCGAAAAGUGUCCUUUUUGUUCGGCAUGAGAAAACACAACUAGAUACCAACCUACAGUAGUAGAUCAAGAAAUACCAAUUAAAGCUUAAAAUGUAUGCAUGUGUAUAUGAAUACUUGCGUGUUUAAAAAUAUUAUAGACUCAAAAGAAAAGAAAAUUCCAUUCAUUAAAAUGGCCGGCACACACUUCGAGCAGCCCGGUCGUUUUGGUACCGCAGAAAAAUCCUGCACUCCAAUCAUUUGGCAACCAGAUGCUAGCAGUUGACAAUAUGAGCUUGAACUUAGCUGACACCCACAUAUAUUGGGUAAGUAACUGCAACGAUCGAUUACUACUACCAAUUACCACUAACGAGCUUGAGAUUUGCAACGGGCCUGAGACAGUCGCUGAGACAAGGGAAUCAAUUAAGCAAGCACAGGUGUUACAACACUUUUUAGUGAUUGCCACUUCAGUCAUAUAGAGUGUCAAAAUCACUUAUUACAGCAGUACGCAACUCGACUCGUUCUCAGCACAACACAUAUCAUCCUCCUCCUCUACGUUAAACCCGGAGGCAGCAGCUGUCAGACGACCACUAAAACAUAGCAGCACAAUUACGGUAGAAAAUAAUCCAGCCAUAUGCAGACAAGGAUUAAUAAUUAUGGUAAAUAAUUAAGUAGCCACAUCCAUCCAUGCNNNNN